UACUGGACCUUGGAGGCCAACAGGAC
RNAcentral lists this non-coding RNA (26 nucleotides) under Rattus norvegicus (Norway rat). The record is from RNAcentral. Lineage: Eukaryota; Metazoa; Chordata; Mammalia; Rodentia; Muridae.